GCGACACUAGCUCAGUUGGUAGAGCGCAACCUUGCCAAGGUUGAGGUCACGAGUUCGAACCUCGUG
RNAcentral lists this transfer RNA (66 nucleotides) under Vibrio cholerae HC-02C1. RNAcentral describes it as "partial tRNA-Gly". It matches the Rfam family "tRNA". Rfam says of the family: Transfer RNA (tRNA) molecules are approximately 80 nucleotides in length. RNAcentral also lists the same sequence under 7 other names. Lineage: Bacteria; Pseudomonadati; Pseudomonadota; Gammaproteobacteria; Vibrionales; Vibrionaceae. The record is from RNAcentral.